Molecule: ribosomal RNA, 433 nt
Filed under: uncultured bacterium
Lineage: Bacteria
Description: partial 16S ribosomal RNA
Rfam family: Bacterial small subunit ribosomal RNA
Source: RNAcentral
AACGAACGCUGGCGGCAUGCCUAACACAUGCAAGUCGAACGAGACCUUCGGGUCUAGUGGCGCACGGGUGCGUAACGCGUGGGAACCUGCCCUUAGGUUCGGAAUAACUCCCCGAAGGGGGUGCUAAUACCGGAUAGUGUCUUCGGACCAAAGAUUUAUCGCCUUUGGAUGGGCCCGCGUUGGAUUCGCUAGUUGGUAGGGUAAAAGCCUACCAAGGCGACGAUCCAUAGCUGGUCUGAGAGGAUGAUCAGCCACACUGGGACUGAGACACGGCCCAGACUCCUACGGGAGGCAGCAGUGGGGAAUAUUGGACAAUGGGCGAAAGCCUGAUCCAGCAAUGCCGCGUGAGUGAUGAAGGCCUUAGGGUUGUAAAGCUCUUUUACCCGGGAUGAUAAUGACAGUACCGGGAGAAUAAGCUCCGGCUAACUCCGUG